UGUGUGUGUGUGUGUGUGUGCAGGAUGUUAAGCAGAUGUUUGGUGAAUGCAGACUCAUUUCAAACAGCUGGAAGGAGCCUCUUCUGGUUGUUGCUCCUGUCCAGCUCAACAACAGAGACGUUGCUGAUUCCAGCCGUUUCCAUGCAGUGCAGCUUGUUUGAUAGGUAAACUGUCUCAGCGCUGAGCUCCACUGCUUUCAGAAUACAUCUGGACUUUAAAUCAGGCUCUGCAACAACCAGCCAGUAUUAGAUUAAGAAUAACAGUUAUUCCUAACGGUAAGGAAAGGUCAUUUUAUUUAUAUAGCACAUUUUCAGCAACAAUUCAAAGAGCUUUACAUGAGUUAAAAGGAAAUACAAACAAAAUAACAAACCAAAGGAAAGAAAACUAACCUAAUGUUGUUCUAAAGUGUGUAAAGUAAGUUCUCCUGUUCAGGGUUGCUAAGCAUCUAAUUCCAUUUCUAAAUAGUGAAACUACAGUUUCUGAUAAAAUGAGCUAAAGAGUGACUGAUCUAAAUCCUGUUCUGGGUUAAAGUGAGAACUCCACAAUUCUAAGUUUGCAAAACUAAUAACUUGAUCAUUUGUAUGUCUAGAAAUAAGCAAAAAUAUUCAGUAACCUUUCUGUCAGUUUUGUUCAAGUAUUCACAAAAAAAAAAUUCUGCUGUUCAUGAAGUUUAAGUAGAAGACUAGAAAAUUCCUGCAGAAAUUUUAAGGUGCCUGCCAAGUGUGCCCACCACUUUAACCCCAGCAUUUCAAAUUUGCCAUGAAAAAUAGAUAUAUGCAUGUCUAACAUACUUAUCCCACCACUAGAACACAGUAACCAUAAAUAUUGUCAGGUGUAUUAUGACAAUAUGAGUCACCAUUGAGAAGCAGGGUAUAAACCCCAAGUCAGUGAAAUUCAAUCUGAGACCGACGACUAUAAGCUUCGCACAUGUGGUUCUUACUCAUGGUGAGUAAUAUUGUCUUA
This is a long non-coding RNA of Poecilia latipinna (sailfin molly), 963 nucleotides long. RefSeq lists it as uncharacterized. The transcript is spliced from 3 exons. The record is from RefSeq and is a predicted model, not a curated record. Lineage: Eukaryota; Metazoa; Chordata; Actinopteri; Cyprinodontiformes; Poeciliidae.